AGUGAACGCUGGCGGUAGGCCUAACACAUGCAAGUCGAACGGCAGCACAGUAAGAGCUUCCUCUUACGGGUGGCGAGUGGCGGACGGGUGAGGAAUACAUCGGAAUCUACUUUUUCGUGGGGGAUAACGUAGGGAAACUUACGCUAAUACCGCAUACGACCUACGGGUGAAAGCAGGGGAUCUUCGGACCUUGCGCGAUUGAAUGAGCCGAUGUCGGAUUAGCUAGUUGGCGGGGUAAAGGCCCACCAAGGCGACGAUCCGUAGCUGGUCUGAGAGGAUGAUCAGCCACACUGGAACUGAGACACGGUCCAGACUCCUACGGGAGGCAGCAGUGGGGAAUAUUGGACAAUGGGCGCAAGCCUGAUCCAACCAUACCGCGUGGGUGAAGAAGGCCUUCGGGUUGUAAAGCCCUUUUGUUGGGAAAGAAAAGCAGCAGGUUAAUACCCCGCUGUUCUGACGGUACCCAAAGAAUAAGCACCGGCUAACUUCGUG
RNAcentral lists this ribosomal RNA (492 nucleotides) under uncultured bacterium. RNAcentral's name for it is "partial 16S ribosomal RNA". It matches the Rfam family "Bacterial small subunit ribosomal RNA", at positions 29 to 507 of the family's 1533-position model. The record is from RNAcentral.